GGGUGUGUAGCUCAGCGGGAGAGCGCUUCCUUCACACGGAAGAGGUCGUAGGUUCGAACCCUGUCACACCCACCA
Molecule: transfer RNA, 75 nt
Filed under: Thermotogota bacterium
Lineage: Bacteria; Thermotogati; Thermotogota
Also listed under: 1 other name
Description: Thermotogae bacterium (wastewater metagenome) tRNA-Val
Rfam family: tRNA
About the family: Transfer RNA (tRNA) molecules are approximately 80 nucleotides in length. Their secondary structure includes four short double-helical elements and three loops (D, anti-codon, and T loops). Further hydrogen bonds mediate the characteristic L-shaped molecular structure. tRNAs have two regions of fundamental functional importance: the anti-codon, which is responsible for specific mRNA codon recognition, and the 3' end, to which the tRNAs corresponding amino acid is attached (by aminoacyl-tRNA synthetases). tRNAs cope with the degeneracy of the genetic code in two manners: having more than one tRNA (with a specific anti-codon) for a particular amino acid; and 'wobble' base-pairing, i.e. permitting non-standard base-pairing at the 3rd anti-codon position.
Source: RNAcentral